RNAcentral lists this ribosomal RNA (269 nucleotides) under uncultured microorganism. RNAcentral describes it as "partial 16S ribosomal RNA". It matches the Rfam family "Bacterial small subunit ribosomal RNA", at positions 9 to 265 of the family's 1533-position model. The record is from RNAcentral.
GAGUUUGAUCUUGGCUCAGGAUGAACGCUGGCGGCGUGCCUAAUACAUGCAAGUCGUACGAACAGCGGAAAGUGCUUGCACUUUCCAAGUAAGUGGCGAACGGGUGAGUAACACGUGAAUAACCUACCUCAAAGUCUGGGAUAACCAUUGGAAACAGUGACUAAUACCGGGAUAAAACCUAGUAGCACAUGCUACAAGGUUAAAAGCUGCGUUUGCAGCGCUUUAAGAUGGAUUCGCGGUGCAGUUAGUUAGUUGGUGAGGUAAAGGCU